Molecule: ribosomal RNA, 429 nt
Filed under: Acidobacteriota bacterium
Lineage: Bacteria; Pseudomonadati; Acidobacteriota
Description: Acidobacteria bacterium partial 16S ribosomal RNA
Rfam family: Bacterial small subunit ribosomal RNA
Source: RNAcentral
UGGGGAAUUUUGGACAAUGGGGGAAACCCUGAUCCAGCCAUCCCGCGUGUGCGAUGAAGGCCUUCGGGUUGUAAAGCACUUUUGGCAGGAAAGAAACGUCAUGGGUUAAUACCCCGUGAAACUGACGGUACCUGCAGAAUAAGCACCGGCUAACUACGUGCCAGCAGCCGCGGUAAUACGUAGGGUGCAAGCGUUAAUCGGAAUUACUGGGCGUAAAGCGUGCGCAGGCGGUUCGGAAAGAAAGAUGUGAAAUCCCAGGGCUCAACUUAGGAACUGCAUUUUUAACUACCGGGCUAGAGUGUGGCAGAGGGAGGUGGAAUUCCGCGUGUAGCAGUGAAAUGCGUAGAUAUGCGGAGGAACACCGAUGGCGAAGGCAGCCUCCUGGGAUAACACUGACGCUCAUGCACGAAAGCGUGGGGAGCAAACAGG